Molecule: long non-coding RNA, 1350 nt
Filed under: Ananas comosus (pineapple)
Lineage: Eukaryota; Viridiplantae; Streptophyta; Magnoliopsida; Poales; Bromeliaceae
Description: long non-coding RNA (ACOM_LNC038750)
Source: RNAcentral
CUUCGGACCCCAAAAUCGAAUUUCAAUAAAAUUCGAAAAGAAAAUUCCUCCGGAUCUCAAAAUCAAUUUGCAGCGAAUCUCAAAAAGGAACUUCUUCGGAUCACAAAUUCAAAUUUGGAUAAGUCUAAAGAAGCCUUUUUCGGAUCUCAAUUCCAAACAAAAAUAAAUACAGCCAAGUCCACAAAUAAAAACCCAAAUCCAAACCCAAAUUCAAUCAAGAAAGUCAAAACUGAAACCUAAAUCUGAACCCAAAUCAAAUCUAGUCCACAAAACCAAAACCAAAACUCAAAUCCAAACCAAAACCCAAAAUCAAAACCCAAAUUCAAACUCAAAACCAAAACCAGUCCACAAAUAAAAAUCCAAAUACAAAACCAAAUUCAAAAUCAAAACCCAAAACCAAAAUCCAAAUCCAAACCCAAAUCCAAUUAAGAAAACCAAAACCAAAACCCAAAACCAAAACACAAAUCCAAAACCGAAAACCCAAAUCCAAACCCAAAGCCAAAACCAGACCACAAAUAAAAACCCAAAUACAAAAUCAGUCCACAAAUAAAAACCCAAAACCAAAAUCAGUCCACAAAUAAAAAUCCAAAACCAAAAUCAGUCCACAAAUAAAAAUCCAAAACCAAAUACAGUCUAUAAACAAAACCCAAAUCCAACCCAAGUCUACAAAUAAAACCCAAAUCCAAACCCAAAUCGAAACCUAAACCCAAACCCAAAUCUAAUCAAGUCCACAUAAAAGCCCAAGACCUACAAAAUCUAAACUCAAAUUCAAUUUAGUCCACAAAUAAAUCCAAACUCAAAUCCAAUCCGGACCACAAAUACAACACAAACCCAACUUCUAACUUGGACUCAUGAACCAAAUUUCAUAAACCCAAAUUCCUUGAAUCAUGAACCAAAUCUUAUAACCAAGUUCAUGAACCAUACCCAAGUUCAUGAACCAAAUCUCAAAUCUCAUGAGCCAAAUACCCAAGUUCAUGAACCAAAUCCCAUAAAUCAUAAACCAAAUCUCAUGAAUCAAAUACCACGGACCACACCCAAGUUCAUGAAUCAAAAAAAUCAAGUUCAUGAACCAAAUCUCAUGAGCCAUAAGCCAUACCCAAGUUCAUGAACCAAAUCUCAUGAACCAUACACCACAUCCCGUGAAUCAUAAACCAAACCUCUUCCCAGAAGCCAUACCCAAGUUCAUGAACCAAAUCUCAUAAACCAAAUUCCAUGAGCCACAUAUGUAAGGUGCCGGACUACUAAAAUAAUGAAGUUACGGUUUAUAUUGGUUUGGAGAGCUAUNUGAACCAAAUCUCAUGAACCAUACACCACAUCCCGUGAAUCAUAAACCAAACCUCUUCCCAGAAG